This 257-nucleotide ribosomal RNA is filed under the name uncultured archaeon. Its description in RNAcentral is "partial 16S ribosomal RNA". It matches the Rfam family "Archaeal small subunit ribosomal RNA", at positions 726 to 982 of the family's 1478-position model. The record is from RNAcentral.
ACAUUAGAUACCCGCGUAGUCCAGGGUGUAAACGCUGCAGACUUGGUGUUGGGAACCCUUCGGGGGUGCUUAGUGCCGGAGAGAAGUUGUUAAGUCUGCUACUUGGGGAGUACGUCCGCAAGGAUGAAACUUAAAGGAAUUGGCGGGGGAGCACCGCAACGGGAGGAGCGUGCGGUUUAAUUGGAUUCAACGCCGAAAACUCACCAGCAGCGACUGUUACAUGAAAGUCAGGUUGAUGACCUUACUAGAUUUUUCAG